This 424-nucleotide ribosomal RNA is filed under the name uncultured bacterium. RNAcentral's name for it is "bacterial SSU rRNA". It matches the Rfam family "Bacterial small subunit ribosomal RNA", at positions 355 to 776 of the family's 1533-position model. The record is from RNAcentral.
UAAGGAAUAUUGGACAAUGCUCGCAAGAGUGAUCCAGCCAUGCCGCGUGCAGGAAGAAUGCCCUAUGGGUAGUAAACUGCUUUUGAACUAGAGAAAACCCCAGUACGUGUACUGGGCUGAUAGUAUAGUUAGAAUAAGCAUCGGCUAACUUCGUGCCAGCAGCCGCGGUAAGACGAAGGAUGCAAGCGUUAUCCGGAUUCAUUGGGUUUAAAGGGAGCGUAGGUGGACUUAUAAGUCAGUGGUGAAAUCUCCGAGCUUAACUCGGAAAUUGCCAUUGAUACUGUAGGUCUUGAGUACAGUUGCUGUGGGCGGAAUAUGACAUGUAGUGGUGAAAUACAUAGAGAUGUCAUAGAACACCGAUUGCGAAGGCAGCUCACAAAGCUGUAACUGACACUGAGGCUCGAAAGUGCGGGGAUCAAACAGG